Long non-coding RNA from Bolinopsis microptera, 234 nucleotides. RefSeq lists it as uncharacterized. The record is from RefSeq and is a predicted model, not a curated record. Lineage: Eukaryota; Metazoa; Ctenophora; Tentaculata; Lobata; Bolinopsidae. The transcript is spliced from 3 exons.
GCUAGGUCACUCCCGGUGUUGGGAUACAAGAUACAAGGCUAGGUCACUCCCGGUGUUGGGAUACAAGAUACAAGGCUAGGUCACUCCCGGUGAUACAAGAUAUAAUGUUAGGUCACUCCCGGUGUUGGGAUACAAGAUACAAGCUAGGUCACUCCCGGUGUUGGGAUACAAGAUACAAGGCUAGGUCACUCCCGGUGUUGGGAUGGCCUGAGGUGCUUAUCUCCUUUUCAUUAA